UAGUGACCUUCAGAGAUGUACUUGUGGACUUCACCAGGGAGGAGUGGAAGUUGCUGGACGCUGCUCAGCAGGUCAUAUACAAAGACGUGAUGUUGGAGAACUAUAAGAAUCUGGUUUCCUUGGGGCAUCUGCUUCCUAAGCCAGAUGUGAUCCUCCGUUUGGAGAAAGGGGAAGAGCCCUGGCUGGUGGAGAGAGGGAUUCACCAUAAGACAUUCCCAGAUUUAGAGAUUGCAGCUGAAAUUAAAGCAUCGGUUUCUAGUAAGAGCACUUCUAAAGAUAAACAAACCUAUGCCAUUAAAGAGGAAGGAAUAGCAAGGGAUGACCUCUGGUAUUUGUCAUUAGAAGAUGUCUGGAAGUGUGGAAACCAGAUGAGCAAAUAUCAAGAAAAUCAGGAGGGACACUUGAGACAAGUGACAUUCACCCAGAAGAAAGUACUUGAUCAAGAAAAGGUCUGUGAGCAUAAAAGUGAGGGAAGCUGUCUUCUUCCUGCUCAGAUCAUAUUGAGGGAGUAUUUCCAUAAAGGUGGAUCACAUACUAAAAGUUUAAAACAUGACUUAGAAUUUAGUGGGCAUCAGGAAAGCUGUGCCACCAGCAGUAACGAAUGUGGUCAAACCUUAUGUCAAAACAUUCACCUUAUUCAGUUUGCAAGAACUCACAGAGGAGAUAAAUCCUACAAAUGCCCUGAUAAUGACAGCUCUCUUUCUUGUGGUACAUCCCUUGACAUAUCAAAGGGCAUACAUAGAGAAAAGCCCUAUGAAUGUAAGGAAUGUGGAAAAUUCUUCAGCUGGCGCUCUAAUCUUACCAGGCACCAGCUUAUUCACACUGGAGAGAAGCCCUAUGAAUGUAAAGAAUGUGGAAAAUCCUUCAGCCGGAGUUCCCACCUCAUUGGACACCAAAAAACUCAUACUGGUGAGGAGCCCUAUGAAUGCAAAGAGUGUGGAAAGUCCUUCAGCUGGUUCUCUCAUCUUGUUACCCACCAGAGGACACACACAGGAGAUAAGCUGUACACCUGCCAUCAGUGUGGGAAGUCCUUUGUUCAUAGCUCCCGACUGAUUAGGCACCAGAGGACUCACACUGGAGAAAAACCCUAUGAGUGUCCUGAGUGUGGGAAGUCAUUCCGACAGAGCACACACCUCAUUCUACAUCAGAGAACUCAUGUCAGAGUGCGGCCCUAUGAAUGUAAUGAAUGUGGGAAGUCUUACAGCCAGAGGUCUCAUCUUGUUGUGCAUCACAGAAUUCACACUGGACUGAAACCUUUUGAGUGCAAAGAUUGUGGAAAAUGUUUCAGUCGAAGCUCUCACCUUUUCUCACAUCAGAGAACCCACACUGGAGAGAAACCAUAUGAAUGCCAUGAUUGUGGAAAAUCCUUCAGUCAGAGUUCUGCCCUCAUUGUACAUCAGAGAAUUCAUACUGGAGAGAAACCCUAUGAAUGUUGUCAGUGUGGGAAAGCCUUCAUCCGGAAGAAUGACCUUAUUAAGCACCAGAGGAUUCACAUUGGAGAGGAUGCCUAUAAGUGUAAUCAGUGUGACAUUAUCUUCAGCCAGCAUUCUCCAUUUAUAGUCCACCAGAUAGCUCACACCGGGGAGCAGUUCUUCACAUGUAACCAGUGUGGGACAGCACUGGUCAGUAGCCCUGGUCUUGUUAGAUACCAGACAAAUUAUACCAGACAAAGCACUCCAUCUGUCAGCUCAGGUAGGGAGAUCGCUUUUCCGCGUCGGCGCCUCCAGUCGGGUUCACCCGGCCUCUGGGGGUUGAGUCAGUUGGUUUCGCUCGUUGGGGCGGACGCCGUGGAGUCCGGAGCGAGGACCAAGCCGUCCUCGCGUGAGCCGUCUUGGGUCAGGUCCGGCAGUUGGAGGCAGCCAGGCUCCCCUGAGUCUUUCUGCUGCCUAUUAGGGCUGGAGGAGCGGGACUCUCUCAGUGUCUCCAGGCUCAAGGCGGCGGAAAGGUGCAAAAGCAGUCUGGCCGCAGUAUCCUGCGGCAGACCCAGUGGUUCCCUGGCCGGCUUGGUUGUUGCUGAGGGGGUGGAGAUGGGGAGCCCUGGGGUUGUGGGAGGGAGAACUGUUGAGGUGUUUUCACAGAGGAUUUUUGGAUGGAGCAGUCUGCAGCUGGCAAAAGAAAACAAGGGUUUCAGUAAACUAGUGACUCUGAGAAAAAAAGAGGAUGUAAAGAAACAGAAGCAAGUGGAUUUGGGACCACUGUCAUUCAUGGAGGAGUGGCGGCUGUUGGACCCAGUACAGAAAUGCCUGUACAGGAGUGUGAUGCUGGAGAACUACAGCCACCUGGUGUUCCUGGGGUAUCAGCACACUAAACCCAAUAUCAUCUUCAGGUUGGAACAAGAAGAAUUGUGGAUGAUGCAGGCCCAAAUGCCCACGCAAGACAAAAUCUGGGAAAUUGAUGAUCAUAUGAAAUGGCAUCAGGAAAGUGAAGCCAAUCUGGGAAGGAUGGCAAAAAAUCUGAAUGUGCUGUAGUUGGAAAACUGUGUGGUCUUAGUUCAAAUUGUGUUUCUUGAAGACAAAAAUCUUCAUAAAUGUGGCACACAUGGGAAAUGUUUGAAAUGUGAUACAGAUUUCACUAGUAAUUAUUCUGGAACGAAUCCUGGUGGUUUUCAUAUUCAGAGAAUCAUUCCUUCAUUCUAAAUGUGAGAAAACUGUCAUUGGGAUAAAAUACUGUGAAAAGAAUCAGUCUGCAACAACUAUCAGCAAGUCACAAUUUGUGCACCAACAUGUGUAUCAAGAGGAAAAUCCUUUAAAUGUAGUUACUGUGAGAAAGCCUCCAGUGGUGAGCCAGACUCUGUAGUGCAUCAGCAAACUCAUGCAGAGGAGAAACCCUGUGAAUGUAGUGAAUGUGAGAAAGACUUUAGCAUUAAGCCAUGUCUCUUUGUAUAUCAGACAUCUCAUGUAGGAGAAAAACUUCACAAAUGCAAUGAAUGUGGAAAAACAUUCAUUUUUAAUUCACAACUGCUUUUACAUCAAAAGACUUCAUACAGGUGAGAAUCUUCAUGAAUGCUGUAAAUGUGGGAAAGUCUUCAGUAGGAAAGACCAGCUCAUUUCACACCAGAGAAUUCAUUCAGGACAGAAGCCCUAUGGUUGUAAUGAAUGUGGGAAAGAUUUUGGUUUGAAAUCACAGCUCAUUAUACAUCAAAGAAUUCAUGCAGAAGAGAAACCAUAUGAAUGCAGCAAAUGUCAGAAAACCUUUAAUAAAAAGUCAAACCUUAUGGUACACCAGAGAGCUCAGGGAAGAAACCCUAUCAAUGUAGUGAAUUCAGGAAGGCCUUCAUGUUCAAGUGACAGGUCAUUGUACAUCAAGGAGUUCACAUGGGAGUAAAGCCCUAUGGGUGCAUUCAGUGUGGGAAAGCAUUCAGUUUGAAGUCACAGCUCAUUGUACAUCAGAGAAGACAUACAGAAAUGAAACCCUGUGCAUGUGAUGGAGAGAUCCCCUAUGAAUGCCAUGAAUGUGGGAAAGCCUUCAGUCAGAAAUAUCUGCUUGUUUCAUACCAGAGGACUCAUGCAGGGGAGAAGUUCUAUGAGUGCAGUGACUGCGAAAGCUUUUGGCUUGAAGUCCCAGCUUAUUAUACAUUCACAGGAUUCAUAUAGGAGAGAAACCCUUUGAAUGCAGUCAAUGUUGGAAAGUCUUUAAUAGAAAGUCAACUCUUGUACAUCACAGAACUCAUACAGGAGAGAAGCUGUAUGGUUGUACUGAGUGUGGAAAGGCCUUUACAUUCAAGAUACAGCUCAUUGUACAUCAGGGAGCUCACACUGGAAUAAAGCCCUGUGAAUGCAAUGAAUGUAGGACUCACUGAUUUCACUUUAGUUUGAAAUCAUAGCUCAUUGUACAUCAGAGAAGUCACACGGGAGUAAGCCAUAUGGAUGCAGUGAGUGUGGGAAUGCCUUUAGGAGCAACUCAUACCUUACUAUACAUACACAAACACACACAGGAGAGAAACCCCAUGAAUGUUGAGUGUGGGAAAUCCUUCAGUUUCAAUUCACAGCUUAUUGUGCAUUAGAGAAUACACACAGAAAAUCCCUAUGAAUGCAUGGAAUGUGAGAAAGCUUUUAAUAGGAAAGACCAGCUCAUUUCACACCAAUGAACUCAUGCAGGGGGAAGCCCUAUGGGUGUAGUGAAUGUGGGAAAACGCUUAGCAGCAAAACAUACCUCAUUAUACACAUGAGAACCUAUUCAGGAGAGAAACCAUAUGGAUGUAGUGAGUGUGGGAAAGCCUUCAUUUGGAAGUCACUACUCAUUGUACAUGAGUGAACUCACUUGAGACAAAAUCCUUAUAAAUGUAGUCAGUGUGACAAAUCCUUCAGUGUGAAAUUACAGCUUGUUUUACAUCAGAGAAUGCAUAAAAGAGAAAAACCCAAUGAAUGCAGUGAAUGUGGAAAAACCUUCAUUAGGAAAUCUCAGCUCAUUGUACAUCAGAGACUUAUUCAGGAGAGAAACCUUAUGGGUUGCAGUGAUUGUGGAAAAACCUCUCAGGAGUCAAUUCUCAGUGUACAUCAGAGGACACAGAGGAGAGAGACCUGUAAACACACUGAAUGUGGGAAAGUCUUCUGUUGGAAGUCACAGCUUAUGCAUCAGAGAACUCAUGCAGAUGAGAAACAUAUGGGUGAGUUACAUGUAAGAAACUUUGUCAAAAGGCAUUUUACAGGAGAUACCAGCAAAGUCGUAUAG
Castor canadensis (American beaver) is the source of this 4671-nucleotide non-coding RNA. The record is from RefSeq and is a predicted model, not a curated record. Lineage: Eukaryota; Metazoa; Chordata; Mammalia; Rodentia; Castoridae.